Molecule: ribosomal RNA, 412 nt
Filed under: uncultured bacterium
Lineage: Bacteria
Description: bacterial SSU rRNA
Rfam family: Bacterial small subunit ribosomal RNA
Source: RNAcentral
AACGAACGCUGGCGGCAGGCCUAACACAUGCAAGUCGAGCGCCCGCAAGGGGAGCGGCGGACGGGUGAGUAACACGUGGGAAUUUCCUCAAGGUACGGAACAACUCAGGGAAACUUGGGCUAAUACCGUAUGAUGCAGAGAUGCCAAAGAUUUAUCGCCUUGGGAUAAGCCCGCGUCAGAUUAGGUAGUUGGUGGGGUAAUGGCCUACCAAGCCUGUGAUCUGUAGCUGGUCUGAGAGGACGAUCAGCCACAUUGGGACUGAGACACGGCCCAAACUCCUACGGGAGGCAGCAGUGGGGAAUCUUGCGCAAUGGACGAAAGUCUGACGCAGCCAUGCCGCGUGAAUGAUGAAGGUCUUAGGAUUGUAAAGUUCUUUAGUCCUGUGACGAUGAUGACGGUAACAGGAGAAUAA